This is a long non-coding RNA of Homo sapiens (human), 1246 nucleotides long. Ensembl annotates it as testis expressed 41. Its record names the gene TEX41. The record is from Ensembl. Lineage: Eukaryota; Metazoa; Chordata; Mammalia; Primates; Hominidae.
CACAACUGUGAUGCUUUAUCCUUUGACAUUAAGAAUGCUGUUUGCAGAAGUAACAUUCCUUUGAACACUCAGCUUUCUGAAAUGGUGUCCCACCGCAAGGACUGGAGAAGGGCACCCUUGGAAAUGCAAUGCUACAUCUCAAUGGGAUUUUCCAGUACAAAGAUUCUUUUCAAAUAACAUAAUUGUGGAUACACACCACUCCUACAGUGACACAAAGCAAAUUCGAGCGAUUUUCUUAUUUGAGUUCAAAAUGGGCUGUAAAGCAGUGGAGACAACUCGCAACAUCAACAAUCCAUUUGGCCCAGGAACUGCUAAUGAAUGUACAGUGGAGUGGUGGUUCAAGAAGUCUGGCAAAGGAGAUGAGAGCCUUGAAGAUGAGGAGUGUAGUGGCUGACCAUUGGAAAUUGACAACAACCAAUUAAGAGCGGUCAUCAAAGCUGAUCCUCUUACAAUGACACAAGAAGUUGCCAAAGAACUCAAUGUUGACCAUUCUUUGGUCAUUCAGCAUUUGAAGCAAAUUGGGAAGGUGAAAAAGCUUGAUGAGUGGGUGCCUCAUGAGCUGAGCGAAAAUUUUUUUAAAAAUCAUUGUUUUGAAGCGUUGUCUUCUCUUAUUCUACGCAACAACAGUGAACCAUUUCUCUAUCAGAUUGUGAUGUGCAAGGAAAAGUGGAUUUUAUAUGACAAUUGGUGAUGCCCAGCUCAGUGGUUGGACAGAGAAGAAACUCCAAAGCACUUCCCAAAACCAAACUUGCACCAAAAAAAGGUCAUGGUCACCAUUUGGUGGUCUGCUGCCGGUGUAAUCGACUACAGCUUUCUGAACCCCAGCAAAUCAUUACGUCUGAAAAGUAUGCUCAGCAAAUUGAUGAGAUGUACUGAAAACUGCAAUGCCUGCAGCCGGCAUUGGUCAACAGAAAGGGCCCAACUCUUUACAACAACUCUCGACCACAUGUCGCACAACCAACACUUCAAAAGUUGAAUGAAUUGGGCUAUGAAGUUUUGACUUAUCUGUCAUUCACCUGACCUCCUGCCAACUGACUACCACAUCUUCAAUCAUCUCGACAGAUUUUUGCAGGGAAAAAGCUUCUACGAUCAUCAGGAUGCAGAAAAUGCUUUCCAAGAGUUCAUCAAAUCCCAAAGCAUGGAUUUUUAUGUUACAGGAAUAAACAAACUUAUUUCUCAUUGGUAAAAAUAUGUUGAUUGUAAUGGUUCCUAUUUUGAUUAAUAAAGAUGUGUUUGAGCCUAAUAA